AGAUUGAACGCUGGCGGCAUGCCUUACACAUGCAAGUCGAACGGCAGCACGGGGGCAAUCCUGGUGGCGAGUGGCGAACGGGUGAGUAAUGCAUCGGAACGUGCCCAGUAGUGGGGGAUAACUAGUCGAAAGAUUAGCUAAUACCGCAUACGACCUAUGGGUGAAAGCGGGGGAUUCGCAAGAACCUCGCGCUAUCGGAGCGGCCGAUGUCUGAUUAGCUAGUUGGCGGGGUAAAAGCCCACCAAGGCUUCGAUCAGUAGCUGGUCUGAGAGG
This 273-nucleotide ribosomal RNA is filed under the name uncultured soil bacterium. RNAcentral's name for it is "partial 16S ribosomal RNA". It matches the Rfam family "Bacterial small subunit ribosomal RNA", at positions 26 to 299 of the family's 1533-position model. The record is from RNAcentral.